Long non-coding RNA from Apis cerana (Asiatic honeybee), 410 nucleotides. RefSeq lists it as uncharacterized. Lineage: Eukaryota; Metazoa; Arthropoda; Insecta; Hymenoptera; Apidae. The record is from RefSeq and is a predicted model, not a curated record.
GAAUACACGUACACGAAUGUAAACACUCUAUAAUGGUAGUUGCAUCAAUGAAAUAUCCACCGCAUAAUUUACAUGUCAGUUGAUCGUUGAGUUUAGAUAGCCGUAAACGAUACCCUCCACUCUGACCUGACAUCCUAUAACAAGUUUAACAAUUUGCACAUUGGAAAUAUACUGAAAUGAAUUUUGAAACAAUCACACUUAAAUGUUACAAUGAAGAUAUUAAACUUACGUGUUAAAUGAUGAGAAAAUUUUUAUCUAAUAAUUGCCAUUUGAUUAAAGAAGUCACAAAAGUUGGAUCAGAACUCGAGAUGAUAUUUCAUGAAUCCUCAUAAUGAGAAAUUCAUUAUGAGGAACACUGAGUAAGUCCAGCAAAAGCAAAUCUCUUCCAACACAGAGAGUGUUAUCUGAUU